UGCUGAGAAUAAAAUCACAUUAUAUAUAUGUUUCAAUGUUUGACAAAUAUUUAAUUUCGAGAGUAGAGUUUAGAUAGAAUCAUUAUCAUAAAGUAUACUAACCAAAAGGUUGCAAUCAAUUAGAAAUGAUAUGUCUAAGGUGGUUUCUGAGUUACUCCUUCUAAUCAUAUUUAAAUGCCAUCAUGAUCUUUUUCUAACAUUGAUUAUUACAUAGCUCAAAGUCUAUAUUAUUAUUAGUCAUGUUCAAUUAAGAACACCUUUUACUUUAUUGGUCUUAAAAUGAUACUAUAUCUUACAAGUAUGUAUUAAUAUAGGGUGGUGGUCCUGAUUGGAAAGUUCCAUUGGGAAGAAGAGAUAGUUUAACAGCAAACCGAAACCUUGCAAAUCAAAACCUUCCAGCUCCAUUCUUCAACCUAUCUCGACUUAAAUCUGCCUUUGCUGUUCAAGGUCUUGACACCACUGAUCUAGUUGCACUCUCAGGUAAGAAUUUUUUUCCCAAUUAAAUUCAUCCUAUAUGUUGCAACAAUUAAAAUAAUAAGAAUAAUAAAUAAGGAAUUUCUUGAAAUUCAGGGUAAGGUAAUAUAUUAGAUUCAAAGGGAUAUAUUAUUAAUGAAACCAUAAAUUAACAUUACUCUAGGAAAAAGAAAGUCCAUGAUGGAUUGAUUAGUAUAUGAUUCACACAAGAUUCAAUUUCAGGUGCUCAUACAUUCGGCAGAGCUCACUGCAAUUUCAUUCUUGACCGAUUGUACAAUUUCAGUGGAACUGGCAAACCUGAUCCAACUCUUGACACAACUUACUUACAACAAUUGCGCCAAAUAUGCCCCAAUGGUGGACCUAACAACCUUGUCAAUUUUGACCCUGUCACUCCUGAUAAAAUUGACAGGGUCUACUUCUCCAAUCUUCAGGUUAAGAAGGGCUUGCUUCAGAGUGAUCAAGAGCUGUUCUCGACACCUGGUGCCGAUACCAUCCCCAUUGUCAACAGGUUCAGCAGUGACCAGAAAGUUUUCUUUGACGCCUUUGAGGCUUCAAUGAUUAAGAUGGGUAACAUUGGUGUGCUCACUGGGAAGAAAGGAGAAAUCAGAAAACAUUGUAACUUUGUUAACAAGAAAUCUGUUGAAGUUGAUAUUGCUAGUGUGGCCUCAGAAGAAUCAUCAACAGAGGGUAUGGUUACCUCAAUCUAAAUGGAUUAGGAUGAAUAGUUUUCACUUAAAAUGGUGUGAUUAGAGACCACAAAUAAAGAAGCUAUAGGCACAUUCAUGCCAUGUGCCCGCCACUACUUGUUGUGUACUGUGUUUGUGUUACACUUUCUUUUUUUAAUUUUGAAUCAUGCAGUGUUCAUAACCAAUUUCUUACUGAGCCCCAAGUUUUGAAAAAGAUCCUGAGACUAAAAUAUUAUCAAUCAUGUGUAUAUUAAUGUGGCAUAACUAAAAAGGUAAGCUAUUGAAAAAGUAGCAGGCAAUAUUUUAUUUAUAAUGAACCAUUAUUAAUUUAUGAUUAAUUAGUUAAGUGUUUCAUUAACUAUAAAUUAUAUUUUUCCAUUAAUUGGGCUUAUAUAUAGACCAGAUUGUCAUGCAUCUAAUAGUGAUACCAGCUUAAAAGAAAUCUUCAUAGGUGGACCUACAUUUUCUUUUUCUUUAUAUAAGAGAAAUGACCGAAAUAUUUCAUCUGGAUUUUUUCAAAAAAAUAAUAAUUAACUGUUAGUUCGCAUUUAAUCCAAAAUGUUUCCUUGACCAUUCACUUCAUGUGUAAAAAAGAAGAAUAAGCUAUUGUUAAGUUUAGUUCACUAAUUAUAUACUUCGAAUUUUAUAAUUAUUAUAAUUAAAAAUAAAUCUCAACAAGAAAUAAUCCUUUGAUAUAUAUAUAUAUAUAUAUAUAUAUAUAUAUAUAUAUAUAUAUAGAUAUAAUCCGUAAAAAUCAAAGAUAAGAUACUAAAGAGUUUAAAAUAAUUUAUCUCUAUGUUCAACCUAUUUGGUAUAUAUAAUCAUUUGAAGCUCUUCUUUUGUAUUAUUUAUAUAAAGAAAGGUGGGUAAGGAUGAUAUUUAUAUUUCACAAGGACGUCUUUUAAUCUCACUACCCAUGUAGUCACUUUAUUAGUGAACAAUCCGUAAGAACUACUGUAAGUAUUCGUGGAGCCUUAAGAUAUAUCUUAUUCCUAAUGAACACUUAGUCAUAAUAUUAUUAUAGGUAUUUUUAUUACAACAUUUUAUUGGUUUGAGUGAAAUUGAGUUAAAAUAUUUAAGUAUAUGAUUUGAAGUUUAUAUCUUAUAAAUGAAAAAGUAUGAUUAAAAAGAAAGAUUUUAUUAAGGAUAAUUAGUCAAAUUUUAUUUAUGAUUGAUAAAAUCGAUAAAUUUUCAUAUCUAUAUCAAGGUAAAAAUAAAGAAAAAAAGAAAUUAUAAGUGACUUUACCUUUUAAAGGCGCCAAUAAUAGUGUACAAGAAAGUAAGCAAGACAAAAUUAAAAGGAAGAUAAGUCCAAGCCACAAACAGCAAAAUGAAUAAUGGGUGGAAAAAUUGAAAAGUCUUUAGACUAACCCCACACAACUUGCCAACACGGUGUUAGGGCUUGCAAAGCACCACUUACUUCAAUACAACAUAAUUGUUGAUAACAGUCCACCAUGUUUUCUAAUGACGUAAAUGGCAAUGAAAUUUAUAUAAACAAAUCCUGGUCGUGUGCCGCCCACGUGUCAUUUCAGCAGGACCACUUGAAUUUUUAAUAUAACAUACGAACAUUAAUUUCAAUUGGUGGCAAUCAGCAAUUUUGGCCUUUGCUUUUGCGGGUUCCACACAUCACACUAGCCACUGUGAACAUUAAUUUCAAUUGGUGAAAACUGACAACUUACAACUAUUAACUCGGUAAUAUUUUAAGGAUUUUUUUUACAUGAAGGAAAAAUGUUACAUUUUUCAAUAUUUAUUCUUUUAUAAAAUUUAUCUUAUUAGAUGAAAUUUAUGUGAUUUCCAUUAAAUGUAUGAGUUAUUUUUUUAUAUUUUUAAAUUAAUGAAACUUGGUAAAUUUUAAUUCAUAAUUUUGAUUUUGUAUUUUUUUUUUAAUUUUGAUUCUUCUAUUUUUUUUUUAAAUUAUUAUUUUGAUUUAAUUUUUAAUUUUGGGGUAAUUCCUUUGGGAACAACACAUUUCCAAGGCUGAAACCUUUGAAAACAGAGCUAAAUAUUGGCAGCCCUCAAUCUGAUGAAUUUGUCACCUAUUAGCCGUGGUAGUCUCCAUUCCUUUGGCAUAGACCUUGUUAGCAACUCAAGAAAAUUUGUGUCUAUUUCAUUUCAACUAUUUGGUGCAGUCAUUCAGACAGAAAAACCUGUUGAAAAUGGGUUGCAAGGUAAUGCUUGCACUUGCACAGGAGAUAAAUGCCAAUGCAAAGAGCCUCGACAGAUGAGGAUUCUUACUUGUGAAAGUAUCUGUGCCUAUGUGUUGUACAGGUAUGCUUAUAUUUGAGAAACUUGAUUUUUUCACUAGAAUUAAAUCAAUUACAAAAGAGUAAAUUACACCCUCAUUCCUUACUUUUUUUUCAAAUUACAUUCGAUAUUUUUUUUUCUUUUUUUACAUUACUUUUAUCAUCUUUCUAUUAAUGUUGUUAACUAACAUCAAUUGAAAUAUAUGAGCAGACAAAAUUGGUCCAACUCUUUGUUACACUCGCAUCUCUUGUGUUUUUCUCGAAUUACAUUCAAUACCCCUCCCUUUUUUACAUUACUUUUGUUCUCAUUUUAUUAAUAUCGUUAACUAAUGUCAAUUGAAAUGUAUAAGCAGAUGAAAUUGUCCUAACAUCUUUGUUAAAUACUUAAUAAUAAAUUAAUUAACCCUGUGAAUGGACCUUUCUUAAGACAAUAACAAUUUUUUCUUUAAUAUUUGACUCUUACUUCACGUUGCUAACACUUGAAGAAGAUGUUAUUCUUGAUUGAGAUAUUAUAUCAAACACCUAGUUAUCAAAAAUAAAUAUCUCAAAGAAAGGAGUUAAAAACACAAAUAUAUGAGCAAAAUACUAAAAUUUGAAGCAAAUGAUCAUAUUCAAUCAAUAAGCAUUACUGAGAAUACGUCCAACAAAAACAUAACAACCAAACAACCUAUCAUGCACAAAAAAAGUUAAACUAAAAAAAGAAGAAGAAGAAAGGAUGUUAACACAUGCAUACCAACAAGGUGAGUUCACGUCCAACAAUAAGUUGAAUUCACAUCCAAAUAGAGAAAAAAGAAAAAGAAGGAGGAAUGUUAAAAUAUUUUCAAGUUGAAAAUGGUGUCAUGUCUUUUAAGGAGUUAAGAGGAAGAAAAUGAUAAUAUUUUAGACAUAAAUUUUCAUUAAAAGUCAUGUGACCAACAUGUACUUUCUGUUAGAUUAUUAAACAAUAUUUAGGAGGAAGAGGGUUUGAAUGUAAUGUGAACCAAACAAUUAAGGAAUUUUUUGUAAGGUACUAAAAAGGAAGGAUGUGAGGUGCAAUUUGAAAAGACACAUAGAUGCCAGUGUGAGGAAAAAGAUGAAAGUAUUUUUAACAUGAGUUUUCAUUAAAAGUCAUAUAACCAGUAUGUGAUUAUUUUUUGUUAAAUUAUUAAAAGGUGUUUAAAAGAAAGAAAGUCUGAAUAUAAUAUGAGCUAAAUAAUUAAGAAAUUUUUUGUAGGAUGAAAAAGAAAAAAAAUAUCAAAUGUAAUUUAAAAAAAACAUAGAAGGUACGAAUGUAAUUUACUCAUUAUAAAAUCAGGUAUUGAUGCUUUAUUAGCCAAUUUUAUUCUGAAAAGACGGUAAUGUUAGAUAAAUUAAAUUUAGUGCUCUAUAUAAUAAGUGUGAUACAUUUAUGGUUUUAAUUACUAUUUCUAGUGUAUUUUGAUUGACUUUAAAUAUGUUUUUUGUUAUCACUUCGCAUUUAGCAUAUUCAUGAUAUUGAACAUGGACUCAAGUAACAUCCACACCAAAUGUACAAAGCUAAAAUCAUAAUUCAUGCUUUAUUUGUGAUACAAUAAAGUGGAAAAUCAUAAUGUGAAUUCUGUCUUCCUUAUUUAGAUCACGGCAUUACAUGAUAAUCAGAUGUCAUUGCAUCAUGAGCCAUGUCAGGCCAGUGAGUGAUUUAAAUUCCCAAACAUUCUUGAGCAUGUUCAUUGUUGACCUAUUAGCUGGUUGUCUGUGUUGAAAAGAAACUUUUAAUCCAUGUUAAAGUUAAGAUUGACUUUGUAAAUCAUUUAUAAGAAUAAUACAUCUCACAACCAAAAUUAGUAUACAUUGUUGUUCUUUUACCUUUUCCUCUCGACAACAAAAUUUGCUUUUAUAUGGGUUUUAAGAGAAACUGAUGUCAAACUAUAUUUCCUACGCAUUGAUUUAAUAAAAAUUGAUGUAAUAAAUGCUCUUUAAUUUUGACACAUGCAUUUCUUACAUCAGUUAAAAUUACCAGUUAAAAUUACAACCAAUGUAAAAAUGAUUUCCACGCCAUCUAUCAACGGAAGUUAAAAAAGUUUUUUUUAGUGAGGAAAGCUUAGUAUAUGAAAUAAACUUAUACUCUAGAAUGAGAUUGUUGGAAUAAAAUAUAAAUAAGUUGGGUUUUUCGUUAAGAAGUAUGAAUAAGAUCAUUAACAUACGAUUAUGUAUUUUUUCCUUCUAAUUAAGGCAUGCCUUGCACGGUACACAAGCUAACACUAGUAAGUUGAAUAUGCAACAAUUAAUAUAUAAGGAAAAUCAAUUUUUAGAUGGUUGUUGCUCUUUUGUCUUUUUAUCAUGUUUCAAAUUUCUUUGUUGAAGUGAUUCAUAAUAUUUUUAUAUUAUCCAAUUGAUUGUUGAAUUGCGGGAGGUAUUAUAUGGUUCAGGGGUAAUGGCCAAAUCUUGAUCUAAUCUGGGUACGUAUAUGUGUUAUAUAUAUACAUACUAACAUAUCAAGUUAAAACUUUGAUUAUUUUGGUAAAUAAAAAAUAAAUAUGACUGUAAAUUAUAUUUAAAUGUUUAAAAAAUGAAAUUAUUUUUUAAGUGGUUAUAUAACAAUUUAUUAAGCGAGUAUGUAAUAUAAUUAAUUUUUAAUUUCGACUAUACAUAUAUUAUUAUAUAAUUAGGAUUUAUAAUUUUCACAUUUUUAAAAUAAAGAGUCACCUCAUACGUUUGUGUGUGCAAUAAUUUAAUUAAGACAGAGCUGAUUAAAGUGGUCUGUUCAUCAGGAAUAUUUAUACUUUUAUUUAACCAUAAAAUUAUAAUAAAAAUAAAAAUAAAAAAAUUUAACUUUUACAAUAGUUUCUUUAAAAUUUACAUAUAUAAUUAUUUGUAAUUAGUUAAUAAUAUAAAAAUUUUAAUAUAUCAAAAUUAAACUCUAGUACCGCAAGCUCCUCUUAAAAUUUAUGAUAACGAAUCUUUCUAUCCAAAAAAAAAGAAAAGAGAAGAAAUUUAUAGAAAGUUAACUAAUGAUCGAGUAGUAUUAGAAGUGAAGAUUUUUCUUUUAGAAACGGUUUUUUUUCAAACUCUUUUUUGACAUUCAAAAAUAAAACUUCAUGUCAGAUUGGACACGUACGUACACUUGGUUUAGUAUUAGACAAUGGAGUAAGAUAUUAGCAACCGAGGCACUAAAAGUCUAUAGGUUUAGAUCGGUUCCUAACGGAAACUUUGAAACAAUGUGAUAAAUUAUUAUAGUGGGUUAUGUCACAUAUGGUUCUAGAUAUUCUUCCCACCAAUAAAAGUUUAGCAGUCCAAGUUAGAUGCAUGUGUCUGCCUCAAGCACAUUUUUACCACACCAUGUUCUUUCUCUGUGCAAAAAGUUCAGCAAUAUGCUGGGCAGACAAACAAGACCGACAAAAGUAGGUUUUAUUUCUUCCCCGAAGAUCUCGAAACUCGGAUUCUUUUCGUAUUUACAUAAACAUAAGUAAUGUCAAACAUAUAUGUAUACAUUUUUUUAAAGUAUUUUCUGUUAACGUGUAAUUUUGUUCGAGACAUACUUAAAUAUUAAAUGUAAAAUCUAUUUUAGUAGUGAUCAAAUUUCAAAUCUUGAUUUAUUAUAUUGUGAUAUAGACUAUUUUUUUUUGUUAGACCAAAGGAGUUGCUAUAUACCCGUACAUUAUGUUUGAUUUUGUUAAAAAAAAUAUUAUGUUUUAUUUACGAGCCUUUUACCUUCUUAUUUAAGUUUUUUUUUAAAAUAAAUAACUAUAUAAUAAAACUUAGUGUAAGUCAAUGCCUCACAUUCAUUAGAAAUUAUUGGAAGCAAGAGUUUCAAGGAGGUGCAAGCUUCCCCAAUUGGUCUCUCGUCAUUUAUGUUUGACACGUUACUUAGCUGUAUUCAUUGUUGAUUUGUUCAUGUCCUACUGAUACAUAUAUGCACUAGUUGUUGCCUUGAACGGUAAAGAAAAUCUUUAAAUUAAUAAGAAUUGAAAAUAAAUAUGUUAAAAUUUAUUUUUUAAACGAGAUCAAAUAUAAUUAUUAUAUCUAUUUUCCGUUUUAUUCAUAAAAAAUAUAUGUUUGAUUUCCAUGUUUUCAGUAAUAUUUUUUAUACUAUUUAUUUAUUGAUAAAUAUUAACUAUUAAUUUAUUAAAAAAAGAUUCUAACCCACAAUAUCUUCCUUUAAUCACUAAACCAAUCUUAUAAUUCCACAUUUUUAUACUAUUAAUUAAGUAAAAAUAUUAACAAUAUAUUUUCAAAAUUAAUUAUUAUAAGAAUUAAAAAUUUUGUUAUACAUAAUAAUUUAUAAUUAGAUAAUAAUAUAAAAUUUUAUACUAUUAAUAUAUUAAAAUUAAAUCCAAAUAUUAUACAGCAAAAUAUAUAAAUAAAGUUCAAAAUAAAUAUUACACAUAACUCAAAGACAAUAUAACUUUUUUUAAUCUUUAUUUGAAAUAUUAAUUUUUAAUUUUGUUUAUAUAAUUCACAGCAUUUUAAUUCCAAUAAUAAUAAUAAUAAUAAGUAAGGUUUAAUCAUUCGAGUUGGUCAGAUUUUACUUAUGUUUUGAUUAAAUUGAAUUUUAAAUUAGUCAAAAUCUUUUUUUAAGAGGAUUAAGAAAAAAAAAUUCUAAAAAUGUGUCCCUUAAACAUCAAGCCAUCUUGAUUUUGCCUACUUUUAAUACAUUUGUCUUCUUGCUCACAUAAACUUUUUUUUUAUGCGUUUUUUCUCAUAAACUCAAGAAAUUAAACUGGCAUAAGAAGAUAUAGAUGCUAAUAAAACAAACUAGAGAUCCCCGAACGUACUCCAGCUAUUCAAGAUUCAUGUGUGUCAGGUUUAUAAUUAGCAAACCACGGUUUGACUUAAUAAAAAAUAUUGUUUAUACUUUUAUUUAAAUUAUGAUUUGAAAUCAUUAUUUUGUUAGAAUUGACCAAAUGCCCACCUCUAAUUAUACCCAAGACCUGUCAAUGUCAUCCUCAAGAUAUUAUAAAAUCGAAAAAUUUAAAUAGAUAAUUUUUUUGGAAGAAUAAUAAUUAUAAAUUCAUAUAAGUUAUCAUUGAAUUGUGUUUCUUCUGUGAUAAUUUCCCCCGUUAUCUAUCUUCAAUCAAUUAUCACGUUUGUACCUUUGAGUUUAUAAAAAAUGAAUUACUUGGCCAGGCUUAUAUUCAAUGCCUAUAAUUUAGAUGGGCUGAUUUAAUUUGUGACACAUCCUAUUUAAUUUUAAAAUGAUAUGAUUUUGACUUUCCGUUUAACUUUUAUAUAAAUAUUUUACAUUUAACUUCUCUAAAAGGUAGAUAUAAUAGUUGAUUUUAAUUUAUAAAUAAAUUAUUCAUUUAUUUCUAUAAAUAUUUAUAGAAAGAAUUAUCUAAAUAGGAACUGAGAAAGUAUUUUUUGGAAAGCAUUUAUUUAUAAAGUGUGUGUUUGGUUUAAGUUAAUUCGAAAGAAUAUAUAUUUUCAAGUAUGUUUUGUAAGAAAUAUAAAUUCAUAACUUUUGAUUCAAUUCUUUUUUCUCUAACAAUAAACCAAACACACUUGUAAGACUUUAAACCCAUUAUGAUGGAGAAAUGGCUCCUGCUCUGUUUUCUAGUUUUAAAAAUUAAAAUGUUUAACGGAAGUAACUUUUGCAAAUAAUGGAUCGACAAGAACCCAAAAAAACGCGUGGAAAAUUAAAAAAGAAGUCUGUUCCAUCUCAAAAAGAAAACAAACUUUAGUCUCUAUAAAAAAACAAGGAUCCAUCUCAUUUGCUUUUAUAUAUACAACAAAAAAGAAAAUCUAAUUUGCCCUUUUGUUUCUAACUUAAAAGUGAGUAAGGUAUAUUUAAGAAAAUAAAAUUAUGACAAAAAAAUUAAAAUUUAAUAAUUUUAAAAUUUAUUCUCUAUAUUAUAAUUAUGAUUAUUAAAAUUUUUAAUCCAUAACUAUAAUUGUGUUUUAUUCUCUAAAAAUUACCUCUCACUUUAUGGAUAAAGAUGGCUUUACUGCUUGAUUUAAGACAUACUGCAUCUUUAGUUGAAUACAAUGUUUUCUUCAAUUUUAAAACAAUAAUUAUUUAAAACAUUCUUAUGGUUUUUUUAAAAGGCGUUUAAAUCUUUCUAUUUAAUCGUAAAAAAAAAAAACUUACAUUUCAAGUUUUAAUGCUAUAAAUUUAUUUAGUUACAGCUGUUAUGCUGUUAUCUUAUUUUUUUUCUUAUUUAGUACAAAUGUUAAUAUAAAAAAUUAAAUUAUUUGUUAAUGUUGUUAAUUUCUUGAUAAUUUAUUUAAUGAUUUUAAUUAUAGUUAUUUUAAAAUGACAAGAAUAAUAUUUGGGUAUUUUCUUUCUUUUAAAAUAUAAAAUAAUUAUAAAAUUAACAAUGUUAACCUCAAUAAAAAUUAAAAUAUUUUCUGAUACUAAUAUAAUAAUUUUACAAAUAAAAAUAUUAAAUAAUUUUAUGCUUUUAAAACAUUAUGCACACAUUUAUUUGUAAUUAAUAUUUUUAUAAGGUAUUAAGAAAAAGAGUUUUCAGCAUUUGUUUCAUUAAUUACUCAAAUUAAUAUUUGUUCCCUUGUUUUAGAUAGUAAGUGUGUGUUUGCGAAAACGUUGAAUGGAACGUAAGGGACCUCAUUUUAGAGCUUCCCUCACAUAGCAUUGUCUCGGAAAGCAUUGAAAUGCCAUUGAAUGUCCGUUUGGAGGGUUUUGACGUUAAAACAAACAUAGCCUAAAACUUUGUGAUUUUAGCUGAGGUACUGUGUAGUUAUAGAGUUUAGUUUAUGAGAUUUUAAAAAAAAAUUAUAUCAGUUCUUGAUUUCAUAAAAAGACAUUUAUUUUAGUUUUUUUUCACUUUAUUUCUUAUAGUCACCUUGCACAUUAUUAAAAUCAAAUGUGGCUUUAUUAAGAAAUUGAAUUGAAACUUCUAUUAAACUUUUUUUUUACAUUAUCAUAAAUGGUUAUACAAAAAAAUUCACAUUUUAAAAUAAAACUUUAAAAGAAAUCAAACUGAUUAGGACUAUAUGUAAAAAUGAAAGUCAUGGUAAAGUCAAGUUUUUAAAAUAUAUACCAGGGCUUAAAAUGCUCAACAACUGAUGUAAUUUCGAGAAGCAAUUUGAAAGUAUAGCCAAAAUUUAACCUUUCACAUACACAUGAAAUCCCCUCCAGAUCUUUCUGACGACUUUACACGUUUUCCUCUCAAGUGGCAUGAUUGAAAAUUAUUUGAAUCACUGAAGUACGAAAUGCAUGGAGGACAUUGCAUUCAUUUAGGGACCAUGUGUCUCUAUAAAUAGAUGCUCCUCAUCAACAGCUUCAGCACAGUAUUUAGAACAAAUUACUGAUAGAAAAAAUGAAAGUAACAGUUGUGUGUUGUGUAUUGGUUGUGCUAGUUGGUGCACUACCAUUCUCUUCAGAUGCACAACUAGACCCCUCCUUUUAUAGGGACACAUGUCCCACAGUGCAUUCUAUUGUACGUGAAGUUGUUAGAAACGUUUCUAAAUCAGACCCCCGAAUGCUUGCUAGUCUCAUAAGGCUCCACUUUCAUGACUGCUUUGUUCAAGUAUGUUUCAUGUUUGUUCAUCACUUUUCCAAAGUUUUGUGUGAUUGUUAACUCUAUUUUGUUACACAUACAUACGUUGAUCAGUUUUCACUUUAAGCUAAUUAAGCUUUUUCUACUUAAUUUUAAAAGUACAACUCAUUUUCAAUCAGCACAAGAUUGAAAAUGUAUCACAAAUUCUUCUGCCAAUUAGUGUGUUAUUUAGUCUUAAGUUUAAGUCAUAUGUUAACAGGUAAUAAUAAGUUGAUGAUGUUUCUCAUGCUUGUGGCAUGCAGGGCUGUGAUGCAUCAAUUUUGUUGAACAACACUGCCACAAUAGAAAGUGAGCAACAAGCUUUUCCAAACAACAACUCAAUAAGAGGUUUGGAUGUUGUGAACCAGAUCAAGACUGCGGUGGAAAAUGCUUGUCCUGGUGUUGUUUCUUGUGCUGAUAUUCUUGCCCUUGCUGCUGAGAUAUCUUCUGUUCUGGUAUAUAUGUCUCAUUCUAUUUUUAAAUAAAUUUCUUCUGAAAUGUUUGAUGCCAUUAGUACUUUCCACUUUAUAAGAUUAGACCUUCUCCAUGUUUAGUGUGUGUUUUCUUAAUGUGCAUAUUAUCAAAAUUGUAUGCCUAAUAUUUUAACUUUUCAUUCUUUUAGUUUCUAGAAUGUGUCAAUUUUAAUUCUUAACUGACAUAAGAAAGGAGGUUUCACUUCUUAAAAUCACUUUCCUUUGAUUUCAUUAGCAAUCUUUUCUAAGAUUCUCCUUAAUAUUUCAUAUAUUUUAAGAUCAAUUUUAUGGUCUCCCAUAAACAUAUGCUCAUAAAUUAACUGACCAUUUAAGUAGACAGAGAAAAUGAAAGUGAGUUGAUGAAUUAGUUAAAACAAAUUAUUAGUAAGGAAAGUCCACUCGCAGCCGACAUUGAAAAUUACAUACUACAACAUUCUUAAUAUACUAAAGUGUUAAAUCAAAGUCUAAGUUAACAGGUAUGACUUUUGCUUUUACUUUAUUAUCCCUUCUUAUAUUUACAACCAUCCACAGGCUCAUGGUCCUGAUUGGAAAGUUCCAUUGGGUAGAAGGGACAGUUUAACAGCAAACAGAACACUUGCAAAUCAAAAUCUUCCAGCUCCAUUCUUCAAUCUUACUCAACUCAAAGAUGCCUUUGCUGUUCAAGGUCUCAACACUACUGAUCUAGUAGCACUCUCAGGUACAUUUGAACAUUUUCACACUACAGAAAAUUCAUCUCUAUAGUUUUAAAAAAAUGUCAGCACAUUUUGACCCUUCACUUUUCAGGUGCUCAUACAAUUGGCAAAGCUCAGUGCAGAUUUUUCGUCGACCGAUUAUACAAUUUCAGCAACACUGGCAACCCUGAUCCAACUCUUAACACAACCUACUUGCAAACACUUAGUGCAAUAUGCCCCAAUGGUGGACCUGGCACUAACCUCACCAAUUUUGACCCAACCACACCUGACACAUUGGACAAGAACUACUACUCCAAUCUUCAGGUUCACAAGGGCUUGCUUCAGAGUGAUCAAGAGCUGUUUUCCACAACCGGUGCCGAUACCAUAUCCAUUGUCAAUAGCUUCAGCAGUAACCAAACUCUUUUCUUUGAGAACUUCAAGGCUUCAAUGAUAAAAAUGGGUAACAUUGGAGUGCUAACGGGAUCUCAAGGAGAAAUCAGACAACAAUGUAAUUUUGUUAAUGGGAAUUCUGCUGGACUGGCCACUCUGGCCACCAAAGAAUCAUCAGAAUAUGGCAUGGUUAGCUCAAUCUAAAUAACUUAACAAAAACAAAAGUUAGUGUAUGCUUCAAAAUGCAGAGAUUAAAAGGUACCUAAUAAAGAGUUCAAUAGGCACGUACAUGGCUCGUGCCUGCGGUGGACCAUGAUAUAUAUGUCUGUACUUUUGUGCACUGCGUCACCUAUGCUAUCACUUUAUUUGUAAGAUCUGGUCAAUAUAUAUAUUAUGAGAAUUCUAAGUCAUAUCAUGCAGAUAAACAUGUGAAAAGAUAGCAUAGUAGAGGCUGGGGUAUUUGUUGAUGAACUACUGAAUCUUGUUACCAAGUAUUAUUAUCUAUGCUGCUUUUAAUCUUCUACCUGUAUUAAUUGGAUUAAAAUUAUUAUUUUAACAACAAAUGAAUGUAAAGUUACAAUAAUAUGUUGAUAUGCACCCUAGUAUAGUUAAAAAUCUGAAAAAGUUAGUGCACACAAUUUGCUUGUACCCUCGUGGUUCCAACACACAUGUUGAACAUUUUGCCAGUUGUAACUAAAGUUUGGAUUCAAACAUGCAAUUGAGUGAGGACAGAGAAUUAGGAUGGUCCAAUUUAACUAGAUAAAGUCGUAUGAUUCGUGAAUAGUGAAGAAAACUUCAUAACCUAAGAGAGGAGACACAAUUCAAGAGAGAUACGUAAACUCAUUAUAAAAGUUUUAAUUCAACACAAAAUUAAUUCUGAAUCUAUAUAUAGUCAAUUUUUCAACACAGAACCAACCAUGUGAACAUUAACAUAAAAUUAGAUUAGGUGAUUUUUCAACUUAAUUUUGAAACAUGAAAUCAAAUACAUAACUUUUACUUACACUUGAAAUCCUCGAGAUCUUUCUGCUCAAUUUUCUCGUUCUUCCUUUAUGUGGCAUGAUUGAAAAUUAUUUGAAAUACUUGCUCACAAUUACAGGUUCAGUAUACUUAAAUUAACUCGAAAAAAUGAGUCUCCUCUGUGAGCAAGUAAUAGCUGUGUUGUGUGUUGUGCAUUGGUUGUGCUAGGAGCACUACCAUUCUCUUCAUAUGCACAACUAGACCCCUCAUUUUACAAGGAAAGAUGUCCAAGAGUGCAUCCUAUUGUACAUCAAGUCAUUAGAAAUGUCUCUAAUUCAGACCCCCGUAUGCAUGCUAGCCUCCUAAGGCUCCACCAGCAUGACUGCUUCGUUCAAGUACGUUUAAUUUCAUCGAGUUUUUGGUGUCAUUAAUUAUCAACUCCUUUUCUAAUUUUUACAUAUACAACUCAUUUUCCAUCAAGCCAAAGAUUGAAAAACGCAUUUUGGUGUGUUGUAAAAGUUAAAUAAAAGCUACAAAUUCUUACAUUUUGGCCUUUGCUAAGAAAGGGAUCCAACACCAUUUUGAUUAAGAAAUGAUAAGCUAUACAAUUUACUCUUUUUAGUGUAUUAUUUAUUUAGUCUUCCUUUUAAAUCAUGUGUAGUUGUUGAGAAUGAUCACAAGAAAUAAUGAAGAGCAUUGAUUAUGUUGGUAGUGCCUGUGGCAUGCAGGGGUGUGACGGACCCAUUUAAGUAUAAACUGGAUUGUUACGUUUCUCCCAGUACGUAACCGGUUCUUUCUCAUUAGUUAAGUAAGCCAUGUCUAUGAUAUUGCUCUCUAAUUUUUUUUUGGGCCAAAUGGUAACAGUGUCCUUAGUAUUAAUUAAAAAACUAAAAGAAAAAAGAUGUGAUGCGUAAAACUAUGAUGUUGAUGACUUCUUUUAUAUUGUCAUUAUGAUCUUUAUCAUAAAUAUUUUUUACUUUUAGUUUUUUAACCAAUGUCUAGGGCACUGGUUAGCGAAAAUCCUUUAUUUUUUAUAUAUAUUAAAUUGUAUUUUUUUUAACGUUAGACGAUUACAUUAAAAGACCCCUUUUGUUUGUUGCUCGGACAUACAUGAAUACUCUAUUUAUUCCUGAAAAAAUUAUCUGGAUCAACCUUACGAGGCUCUGGAAAUUGUUAUUGAAGUAUUUGGCCCCAUAAACCUCUCCUUGAAAGCUAUUCUCACCAAAGCUGUUAACUCCAAUAUCAAGGUCCCUAUAAUUCAAAAAACCACUUCUGGGAUUCUUUGACACAAAAGGGGUCAUGUAACUGUACAGCUUCUUAGCCGCACCAAGUGAAGGAUCAAAGCAGUUCACAAAGUACUGAAUCUUGAACAAGUUCCCCUUACGGUGAGGAAACGGCGUCGCAUCAGAAGAAAUCUCAGCAAUUUUCCCUCCAUAAGGGUUGAAAGCAAGCCCUAUUUCCCCAACUUAAUAAUCCUUUUAAAUAUACACUCCAACCCUUCUCAUGGAAUAGCUCUCUGAACAUAAUCAAAUUUUCUUGUAAGUAAAAAAGCAGUGUUUACAUGCCGUUUGUUAGUAUAGAGCAAUAAAAUAAGAUAAAGAAAUAAAGGGAAGAAAGAAAAAGACACAAAAUUUAACGUGAUUCAGCACACAAUGUAUAUACCUACGUCCACGGCUACACUAGGAGAACUUUUUAUUACUUGCACAUAAAAACUUGUGUCUCAUUAGUGUUAUAUAUAGAGACACCUUGUAAGCUUUUAUGUGCAAGUAAUAAAAAGUUUUCCUAGUAUAGCCGUGGACAUAGACACAUACAUUGUGUGCUGAACCACCCAAUAGGGUUUCAAUCCAUCUCAUCUCAGUGUAAUUCUCCUUCUUUUCAGACAUCUGUGCAGGGGUGUGACGGAUCCAAGAGCUGUUAUCCACGUCUGAUGGCUGAUGCUUAUACCAUUGACAUGCAAUUGUCGAUAUAUAUAUAUAUAGAGAGAGAGAGAGGUUCAGUCGUAACCAAACUCUUUUCUUUGAGAGCUUUUAAGUCUGCAAUGAUAAAAUUGGGUAGCAUUUGGAGUGCUCACGGGGUCUCAAGGAGAAAUCAGAAAACACUGUAAUUUUGUUAAUAGGUAGGAAUCAAUUCUGCUGCCACAAAAAUCAUCGGAAGAUGGCAUGGUUAAUAAUUAGCACUUCCUCAAUCUAAAUAAAUUGACAUAAACAAAGUUAGUGUGCCUAUCAUAAAACAAGUUAGUGUGUAUCCUUGAGCUUCAGAAUGUGAUUUCAUAGAGUUUGUAAGAUGUGAUUUCCUAUGCUAUGAGAAUUCUAAGUUGUCAUGUUGAUUUGAUAAUCAUGUGAAAAGGCUGUGGCUGGGGUAUUUCUUAUGAGAUGAAAAUGAUAAUUGAUGAAUCUUUUUUUGUCCAUACUAAUGAAGAUGGACCAAGUGUUUAUAUAUAUAUAUAUAUAUAUAUAUAUAUAUAUAGCAUUAUACAUUCUCAUACAUGAUCUCUAGCAUUUUAAGAGUUAGAAACAAGCUAUGUUGUGGUAUAUAUACUUGCAAUAUUGAAGCAAUUGAAAGACAAACAACGUAACUAAUUGUAGAGAUUCUAAAUUUUCUUGUAAAAUUCUUCUGUUAAUCUUCUUACUUGUUCUAAAUAUGAAAUAUAUUUUUAUUUUUGAAACAUUAAAUACAUUUAUUUUUUUAUAAAAUUUUAAAAGGAUUUAUAUGAAAAUAUAACACUACUGCUCCUUCAAAUAAUCCCAUAUAUAUUACAUUUUAUAAGGCAUUACAGCAUAAAAACGGAAUGAAUUGAAUCAAAUCAAAUGUUAAUUACAAAUGUACACAAUAUUCAAGCAAACAACGGCAUGAACUUAUACGGAAAUAAAUCCGGAUUUGGGUACAUGCUGAGACUAUAUACAUUUUAAUUGUUUUGUUAAGACAAUUUUGAAUACUACCUUGAGUUAAAACAGGACAGUUGAUUUGAUUUUAUGCAAAAAAAAAAGGUAAGAUAUGUGCAACCAGGCCCCAAAAUUCAAAUUUCUACAUGUUUAGGUUGGAACCUAACUGAAAGUUGGAGAAAAGCAGUAAUAAUAAUCAAAUCAUAGUUCUGUCAAAAAAAAAAAUCAAAUCAUAGUGGCAUGUGGUUCUAGAUAAUCUUCAUAUUCAAAGAAUUUUAGCUGUCAAAUUUAGAUGAAUGAAGGGAAAAUUCUACACCGCGCACGUCAAUUACACGAUGUCCUAUUAUCUCGCCAAAGGUCACACCAACUUUGCGGACAAACAAGACCGACAAAACUCGAGUUGAUAAAUCACCAUCACCCGAACACAUCGAGUCUUUUUUCAACCAUAGUAAUUAAAGAAAUUUGACUCCCCGUGAAAUUCUCGUUAUUUUUAUAAGUUUUGAUUCUUAGAUCAGAUAUGUCACACAUCUUACAUUAAUUAUUACUUUUCUUCAAGAGUUAUUCCAUAGAUUUAUGUUGCAUUAUCAACUAAAUUACACAUUGGGUUAAGAUAUCAAAUCUGAGUUAAUAUAUUAAAUUUUGGAAAUGAUAAAUGUUACAAAAAGUUAAAUUAAUGUUAUAAAAAAGUUAAAUAAAUUUUUUAAUUAAUAUUAAAUAUCAUAUUAUAUGCUUCAUAAAUUUGAAAAUUUAUUAUAAAUAACUAAAUAAUAGUAAUAAAUAUAUAUAAAUAUUACAUGUAAACUUUUCUUUUUAAAAAAUAUUAUAAUAAUUUUUUUUAAAAAUAUAGGUUACAGACUGUCUCUUUAUAUGCUGUUUUAAAGUACUCCAAGGAAGCAACGUUGUAGAGAACGCUGAGUUAGAAAAGUUUUUUUUUUAUCAGAGAAAUUACUUAUCAUUAAUCAUUAAUAUAUACAAAUAUGAUACUCAAAUCAUUUCCCCAAAUUGGUUAUAUAAUAUUUAUGUACCGCUAUACAUAAAUACACAAUAACCAAUUGAUUACAAAUCUCCCCCAAUAAAAUAGAAGUGGACGAAAAAUGAAUUAUCUUUCUUUAUUUGAUCUAGUUCUAGUAACCAUGAACCAAGUCCGAAAAGUAGUCAAUACUCGAACAUCAACACGUGGAAAAUUAAAAAAGAAGUGCAUGCAAUCCCAUUCCAAAGGCAAUAUAUUACUGUUUCACUUGGAUACUGGGACGGUAAACGUGUUCUUGGGGUUCAAUUUUUUUUCUUCAUUUUAUAUCAGCUUUUCCUCAGAAAUAGUUAAUAGUAUAUUAUUUUGAACUUAAACCAUUUAUUAAUGGCCUGUUUUCUCUUUGGCUAUUUUAAUUAAAACUUUCUAACUCUACAAUUCCCGUUUAAAAGUUUUCAUUAAAAAAUUCAAUCUUUUUCUCUUUGGCUAUUAACAGUUGUGUUUAAAGAAAUUCGUUCUUUUUAUCUGAUUUGAAUAAAAUUGUGUAAUAUAUUAUUUGUGCUUUACUAAAAAAAAAUUCAUCCCUAAGUAUUAUACAUGCUAUGUUUGUAUAUAUAACCUUUAUUAUAUAACAUUGUACUCUGGCACUGCUUGUGUUUUCCAGUAAUAUAUUAUGUUUGCUUAUUUAAAAAUAAAUGUGCAUGUCCACAUGCAUAUGUGACGUCAUGCAUUUGAUAUUAUGGUGACGAAUUUGCACCAUAGUACCAUUAAUUUCUUAUUAAAAAAUACUAAAAAGUGAGAAUAUAUAAUAUCCACGAGAUGAGUUAAUUUACAUGUUCCUUUAGUUUUAAAUGAAAGAGUGAUGAUUGCCCUUUUAUUUUGCAUAGAAAAAAUGGUUCUUAUAUUUAACCGAAUUUUACAAGCUACUCCAUUUAAUAAACUGUAUGAAAUUUUUUUCUUACAGCAACAGAAUGAAAUAAAAUUCAAACCACCUCCCAUGCCAGUUUAUUCGGAUACUUAAUUAAUUAAAAAAAUAAAAAUAUAUGAAAGCAUAUUAAAUAUAAAUAAUUUUUAUUUUGACAAAUUUUGUCUUCCCAACUUAAAAAAUGGAUUAAUUAGGAAGACUAAUUAAUGUUUUAAAGUCAAAUACCAAUAUAAAAUCAAAUUUUAUUUAACCUCGACCAAAUUAAGUGAAAUUUUGUAUUUAGACAAUCAAAAUAAUAUAUUGUUUUUAACUUUAUAAAUAUUUUUGUUAGAGUUCAAGUAUGAAAUCUCAUAUUUUGAAUAGAAAUGAGAAAGUUGUAUAAUAUAUAAAUGAGAAAGAUUUACAAACAUGAUAUUCUGAGAUUUUAGGUUAAAUUGUAAUAUUAAAUUUAUUUGUGUGCUAUACUUGUGAUGUAUUGAUAAAGAUAUUUUUAUGUUUUAUUAUCCUUGGUUUUCACAACAUUUUUUUAUUAAUAAAUCAAAUUAAGUACUAAAUUUUUAAAGUACAGCAAUGUUAUAUAUGUUAGGAAAAAAAAUCUUUAAGAAAUAUAUGAAUUAAAUGAAAUACGUGUUUUAGUAAAAUUCAAAAUUAAUAUAUAGACACACCUUAAUUAAUUACAAUCAUUCAUAUAUAUAUAUAUAUAUAUAUAUAUAUAUAUAUAUAUAUAUCUUAUUUUUCUUAUUAUAUAUACUAUAGCAUUUAUUAUAUUUAUAUUUCUUCUCCGAUGACUCUUUCUCUCUUAAUAUAUCAAAUAACAAUGAGGUGUUCAUAUAUUAUUAUUCUUUUCAUUUAACUUGUACAAGUGCUAUAAAAAAUGGUUUUCAUGGCAUACGGCAGUGUUGUGCUUAAAGUAAUACCAUCCCGAGCAUUAUACAUAUUCUCAUAUUUGUAUAACUUAUUAUUUAACUGCUAUCCAUUACAUAUAACUCAAUCCACUUGUAUAUGUCAUGAGGUUAUCCAUUUCGCAAUAAGGUGACGAAGUGCACCAAAAUACGUAGACCAUUGAUUUCUUUUUUUUUUUUUUUAAUAAAAGAUACCAACAGCCAUGAUAAUAUUCACAUGAUGAGUUGACAAGUUCCUUUAUUUUUAAUGAAUCAAAGAUAUUUUUCAAUUCUUAAAUGAAUUUUAUUUGUCUCGCCAAAAUUUUCCAUUAACAUGACUAGGGAAUCGUAUAUCACCCAACAUGUUUAAAGAACCUAUCUGCAUUAAACUUUGAUAUGUUUUUUGAAUGAUGAUUACUUCUUUAUGACAUGUGAUAGACAUAUAAUAAUUUGUACAAGAUUUUAUCAUUAAGACAUAUAAUAAAUGAUGUAAAAGGAAGAGAUAGACACACAUAAAAUAUUAAUAAACAAAAGGAAUACUACUAAUAUUCUUUCUGACAUUUUCUUUGUGAUUAUUUAAAAAAAUUUAAAAUUAAUAAUAACUUUAGUAAAUCUCAUAUCUAAAUUAAAAAAAAAAGAAUCAUUAAAUGAUAGGUGUAAGUUAUCAAAAUUAAUAAUUUUAAUACAUUUUAGUCAAUAAAAAAAAGAUAUUAAAAAAAGAAUGUUAGAGAAAGUGUUUGACAUUUUUUGAAUAUACAAAUUAUUUUAUUAUUUUAUGAAUGGUUGUACAUGUAACAUUUCUCUUAUUUUAUUUACAAUAAUUGUUCUUAAAUUCAACCGAAUUUAAAAACACUCCAUCUAAUACACGUACUUUACUACAAUUUUCCUUACGAAAACAAUAUGAAAUAAAAUUCAGACCACCAACAUGGAACCAUGAAACACGGACAAUGCAUUCACUUGCAAGUUGACUCUCUUUAUAAAUAGAAACACCAAAUCUGUGUGUUCUUGCACCAACAACAACGACAGCAAACUCAUAAUUGCAAACACCAGAAAGAGAAAAAAAAAUGAAUUCCCUUCGUCUCACUUUAUGCUGUGUGGUGGUAGUGCUUGGAGCACUACCCUACUUCUCAUAUGCACAACUAGAUCCCUCGUUUUACGAUAGCACAUGUUCAAAUUUGAGUUCAAUCGUACGUGAGGUGCUCACAAAUGCUUCCCUGUCUGAUCCCCGCAUGCCUGCCAGUCUCAUCAGGCUCCACUUUCACGGUUGUUUUGUACAAGUAACUACCUAUAUUCUUCAUAUCUUAACUCCAUAAUGUGAUAUGUAGUUUUUUUUUUCUUUUUAUUUUAAACUAAAUCCUUUCCUGGCUACUUCUGUUACCCCGAGAAUAACUCAUUCAUAAACUUUUUUUUUAUAUUACAUAGUUGAAAUGUAUAUAUGUGGAUUCAUGAACGGAGGAAAGCCUCAAACCACUUCUAUAGAAAUUUUACUAUUUUAAAGAGUAGAUGUGUUUGAGUUCUAUUUUUAAAACUGAUUUUAGUUUCAACCUAAAUAAGACUGCUCAUACUACAGUUGGUAAAGGCUGGUUCACGAUAUACCACAUAGGUCAAAGUGUAAAAUUGAAAGAGCAGUUGAAUAAGAUAAAAUCAAAAACAUGAAGAUGAGAAAAUUAAAUACCUCCUAGCUAUUUUUUCUUUUGGUUUUUAAGACACUUAUUUUAGAAACAAUUUAAAAUUUAUUAGAUUUAAUUAAUAAUUAAUGAGUGAUGUAAAAUCGUUUUAGAAAAUAAUUUUUUAAAUGAAACAAUGAGAAGGGGAUCAAUCAAACAUGUCUUUGGUCCCCUCCAUCAAUUUUAUGCGUAAAAGGAAACGCAGUUUGAAAUGUCAAGCUUUCCUUAUGGGCACUGAUAAAUCAAGAGUUAAUUAAAUAAGAGAAAGAGUGUUUUGUUUUAAUAUGACUCAAAUUUCUUGUUGCUGAGAAUUGAAGUGAAUUAUAUAUGUUUCCAGGGGUGUGACGCAUCAAUUCUAUUGAACCAAACGGAUGAGAUCGAUAGUGAGCAAACUGCUUUUCCAAAUGACAACUCUAUAAGAGGGUUGGAUGUUGUGAACAAGAUAAAGACCAGGUUGGAAAAUGCUUGUCCUGGCAUAGUUUCUUGUGCUGAUACUCUUGCCCUAGCAGCUGAAGUAUCUUCUGAGCUGGUAUAUAUAUGCAUUUUAAUUAAUUUGUUUAAUAAAUCUCUAGUUUAAUUUAUAGAAAAUCAAAAUAUUGAGUAUUAUUAUGAAAAGGGAAAAAUAUAUAUGUUUUUAGUCUCUCUAAAAAAUAUUAAAUUUAAUUUUUUUUCUCUAAAAAAAUUGUUCUAUUUUUAUAUCCUCAACUUUUACUCUUUAAACUAGUUAUAAUUAAUAUUUUAUGACGGUUUGUAACUGUAUUGUCAAAAAAUAUACUUUUGAGGCUAAAAAUAGAAUAUUUACAUGUUAGAGAACAAAAAUAAGGAAAAAAAUUGGACGGCCAAAGCCGAUUUUAAGAAAAUUUAGAAAUAUCAAAAAUAUAUUUUAUUCGUAUAAAAAUAAGAAAAACCAAUGUUCCAUACAGUUUUAGUUUGAUUUCCUUUACAGUUUUGGUUUGAAAAAUCUGAUUUUUAAACUAAUUAUUUGAUCCAACUCAAUAAUUAAUUUCUAAUCCAAAAUCUAUUCAAUUUAAAGAUAUUUUUUAAAAAAGUGUUUUAAAAACUAAAAAAAAACAUAAAUAUAUGAGAAAUUAAUGUUUUCUCAACAGUUUCUUUUUCUUAUUCUAUAGGAUAUGGAUCAUAUGAAGUGAUAUUGCAUGUGGUGAGGUAUGAACUUGGUAUUGAUUUUUGUUUUCUUUCUUUAAAAAAUCAAAAAUAGAAAUCAAACGCGCCUUGAAGUUUCAAAAUAUUGUUUGGAAAUUCAAUGGAAACCUAUAUAUAAAACUAGAGACAAUAAUUAACUUGAUAUGUGAUAGGAUUUUUUUUUUCUAAAUGGCCUAAGAAAGAAACACCUCAGACACAAAUUAAUUAAUACUCAACUGAUAUGUGAUAGGAAUAUAAAUAAGAUGAGUUGUUUAUAAACUAUUUGUUUUAUAGGUUAGUUAUUUAUUCAACUUUAAUAAUUUUUUAAAUAAAUUAAUAAUCUCAAAUUUAUAGUUAGAUUUAACUAUUUUAAAUAAGUGAAAUCUAAGUUUUGUAGGCUUGACAUUAAUAUUUCAUGAAUGAUAUAUAUAUAUAUAUAUAUAUAUAUAUAUAUAUAUAUAUAUAUAUAUAUAUAAUUUUUAUAUAAUUAUUUAAUUACAAAUUACUAUGAUAUGUCACACGCACAAAUAAUGACUAUAUAUUUUAUUAUAAUUUCACUUUAUUUUAGCACAAAGAUAUCAAUUAUAUACUAAAUUAAUAAAAAUAAAAGAUUUAUAUAAAAAUAAAAUUAAUAAAGAAAAAAUAAUCAAGACACCUUAAUAAGUUAAUAACUCAACCUCAAGUUUUUUCACUUGGUUCAACUCAUUUACAUCGUGAAAUUUGAUAAAAACAAAGAAAGUUAUAAGUUAGUGAGUUUGAAGGACGCGAGGUUAGAAAUUAAAGAAUGAAAAUUCUAAAGAAAUUAUUUUUAUGUAAAAUUUGAUGUUUUAGUUAGUGAGUAUGAGUAAAAGAAAAUUUAAAAUAAUUUAACUGAUUCAAUUUGUUAAAUUUUUAAGUAGAAAAUGAGAAUUUGAAGAUUUUAGGUAGAAGAAUUAUUUUUUUUAAGAAAUCUAGAAGAAAGCUGGAAUGAUCAAUUUUGCUUAAUAUUCAAAAUAAAACUGAUUUGAACAUAAUUUUAAAAAAUCAAAAUCAGAAAUAAUAUAAAUUAAAGAGAUCACAGGUAUAAUUAGCUUCUUUUUUAAUUUAUAUUCGCAAUGAAAUUGGACUUCUCGCUUUUUUUGUUCGUGAUUCAUGCAAAGGUUAAUUUCUUUGAUUUAAUUUAUUUGUCCAUUUCGAAUUUUAAGAUAAUAUUUACUACUUUUUUUAAUAAUACUUUUAUUCUCACGUUAUCAUUAAAUAUUUUACAGUCUUAUCUUAAAUAAAAAAUAAUAUUAAAAAUUAUUAUAAAAAAGGAAAAACAAUUUUAACAUAAAUAAAAAAUAUUAAUUAUAUUUCUUAAUAUAUAUGAGUAUAUAUUAUCCUCCUAAAUAAACAUAUAAAAAGAAACAAUUGUACUAGCUAUACUAUUUCCUCUUUCCAUGCAAAUGGAGAAGCGGACUCUAGUUUAUAUAUAUAAAUUAUCCAGGUGUUGACACAUGUCAAUUUUCAGUGUAAUUUUUUCUAGUCUUACUUAUUUUAUCGUUUUCUAUUUGCAAUAAUAAUUUUACUGCUUUGAUUUUCUUCUGUGUCGAGCACGGGAUUAUUGAUCUAAUAGUUAUAUAAAUCUGUCUAAAGAAAAAGAAAGAAGUAGAGGAAUUUUCUCUAUGUAUUUUUAUGGUGCUUUUAGAAUUUAUGCAGAGCAGUUGUGAAAAAAUUGAUUUAUUAAAAAAUUGAUUGCCCUUCAUUUUGUUUUAACUUUAAUCUUAAUAUAAUCUUAUUAAGAAAACAAUAUAUUUGUUUUUAGGAUUUUUGGUGGUCUACUUUAAAUUAUGAGUAUGCUCACAUAUUGGGUCAUUAUUUAACAAGAAUAAAGAAAAUAAGAAUGGAGAGGCGGAAUUGAUUCAAACAAAUCAUUGCCAAAGAUAUAACUAAAUUUCUUGGUGGAAUUUUAAUCUUAAUUGAAACCAUAAGUUCUCAACAACAAAAAAAUUCACCUUUUGCAUUCUAUUUUGUCCACCUUUUGUACUGUUUGGCAGGCUUGUGGUCCUGUUUGGGAAGUUCCAUUAAGAAGAAGGGAUGGUUUCUCAGCAAAUCAGACCCUUGCUAAUGAAAAUCUUCCAGCUCCUUCUCUUUGCAUUGAUCAACUUAUAUCCGCAUUUGCUAAUCAAGGCCUCAACAUUACACUGAUUUAGUUGCACUUUCAGGUAUGAAAUUUCUUACAUUUAAUAAAUAAAUAAAAGGUUUUAUAGUGUGUGAUUACAAGCACAGUAUAUUCAAUAUAUCUUGUCAAAUGCUUUAAAUUGUUUAAAUAAGUAAUGAUUAAACGUCAUGAGUUUUUUAUAUAGCCGUACAUACAUCCAUUUUGCUACUCUUGUUUUUAUUACUUAACCAAUAAUUUAGAUACAUUUUAUCAAAUUUCUUUUUGGUAAUCUAUGCUCUUGUAUAUAAUCAAAUUUAAUUAGACAAGAGUAGAAAUGCAUAUAAUUAAAUGACAAUAUCAAUGAAGUGCAACUCAAUUGAUAUAUUGAGCAUGGCAUAUGAAUUUUUAUAAAUCUCUAAUAUUUUUUUUCGAUUCUCACAUACAAAAAAAAAAUAUUUCGAAGAAUGUUCUUGUAGCCAAAAAAGCAAUGAAAUUAAACCCUUUAAUAAGAAUGGUAUUAUUUUGUUGUAUUACUUAUUGAAAAUGUCUCAUUUUUAGGUGCUCAUACUAUUGGUAGAGCUCAAUGCAAGUUUAUUGUUGAUCGAUUGUACGAUUUCAAUGGCACUGGCAAUCCAGAUCCUACUCUCAACACAACUUAAUUAGAAUCAUUGCAAGUAAUAUGUUCCAAUGGUGGACCUGAGUCUGAUCUUACCAAUUUGGACUUAACCACUCCUGGCACGUUGGACUCGAGUUACUAUUCCAAUCUUCAACUUCAAAAGGGCUUGCUUCAGAGUGACCAAGAGCUUCUUAGUGCAAAUGGUACCGAUAUUGUUGCCAUUGUUAACAGUCUCACUAGUAACCAAACUUUUUUCUUUGAAAACUUUGCAGCAUCAAUGAUUAAAAUGGCCAACAUUGGAGUGCUAACGGGAUCAGAUGGAGAAAUUCGAACACAAUGUAAUUUUGUGAACGGAAAUUCUUCUGCCCUUACCACCAAAGAAUCAUCACAAGAUGGCAUGGUUAGAUGGGCAAAGGUUAUGCUGGAAAAUGCUGGGAUUAAAGGAGGUGUCAAUAAAGAGUUUUGUGUGUGCAUGUGGUGAACCGUUAUAAACUUUGUACUUUGUAUUCUAUACACUACACCUAGCUCUGUAUUCUAUAUACUACUAAAUAAUUGCUGUCACAAGCAAUCAUGACCUCCGUUGCCUUAAAUUUCAAUAUGUAUUAAUGAAGUUGAGUUAAGAGUAUUACUUCAAUUAAUUAGACCCAAACUUGGUUCAUAAUACAAACAUUGUCUUUAGAUAAAAAAAAAAUUAAAAAAAAGUAAGAGAUUACGGCCGGACAAAGCACAAAGUGCAAUAAAUUUGACAAAUAGUAUUGCGAGAGGUGAUGAGCAAAAAGACUAUAAAUUUACUAUAGAAGGCAUUGGUAAAAAAAAUUAAUCUGUACAGAUAUUGUCAAACCAACUUUAUCAUAGAAAGCAAUUGCAGACAUUUAUAUAUUCUGGAAGAAAAACCUAACUGGAGACCACAUUGACAACUUCAAUGGGAAGAUCGCCAAUGAGUAAGCAACUAGAAUAACUUUUAAAGAUAUUUUAAAAGAGAAAACAGAAACAGAUUUUAAUUAAUAACAUAUAUUCACAUAAUGAACUUUUAAGUUGUUUAUAUUUUUUAAAGGACAUCUUUCAAUGAUACUUUAUUCUGUGUUCUGUAACUUUAUGUAAAUGUAAAUAACCUCUUUCUUCUUGGGUAAAUUAAACAAAAGAAAAAAUAUAACGAGCUAAGUGUGGGAAAUGGGAAUAUGCUCUUUAGAAAGAGAGGGGGAAAAAAAGCAGGUUUUGAUGGGAGACUUUCAUAAUUCAUAAUUCUAGGUUACAGACUGUCUGUUUAUUUGUAGUAGUUUAAAAGAACUCCAAGUAACGUUGGAGGGAACACUGAAAUUAGAAAAGUAGAAGUGGAUGAAAAAGGAAUUUUCUUUCUUUAUAUUUCUUCUAGUAACUAUGAACCAAGUCCAGAAAGUAGUCAAUACUCGAACAUGAACGCGUGGAAAAUUAAAAAAGAAGUGCAUGCACAAAGUUUCACAUUACUUUUUCACUUAAUACGAUAGAAGUUAAGUAUGUCCUCGCAUAUCGUAGCCAAGUUAGGAAGUAUUUACUUGGAGACUGGGACGUUAAACGUCCGGUUCAAUUUUUUUUCUUCAUUUUCUAUUAACGUUUUUUACAAAAUAGAGUAGUUAUUAGUGGUGUAUUUUUUUCUUUGACUGUUAUAAUUAAAAUUGUCUAAGUGUAUGUUUGAUUCUGCAUUUAAAUUGUUAUCACACAAAUUUUGAAACAAAUCCAACUGAUGCAAAAUUAACAUAACAAAGAGAAUCCUGAUCGGUUAACAAAAUUAUAUUUAUCCUCACUAAACGUUUAGCAAACAUGCUCUAUAUAUAACAAUCUAUCCUCGUUUAAAAGCUUUCAAUAAAAAAAUUCAAUGCUUUGUUUUUUUUUCAUGCUUUAGUGAAAAAUUCUCAAACAUUACCUUAACAGCGACACAUCUCCUAUAUUUUAAUAAUUUAAUCAAAAUAAUAUAUGAUUUUAUAUACAUUCUACCAACUAAAGAAGCUUGGUAUGUGCGGCUUUUGCUUUAAACUUCUAAAAGCAGAACUCAUCUGUGAUUGAAUACGAUAUAUGUCCCCACCUCAUAACUCAAAUGUAGAGAGUUUUCCUUUUCUAUAAAUUUAAAUGAAUCAAGAUAAACACAAAUAAACUUAUAUUCUCACCAAAAAGUACAUAUUUAUAUUGCAUAUGUAAUCAUUUAGAUGCUUUUAAAUUUUAAUAAAAAGUAUAUUGCAAAAUAACAAACUUAAAUUGAUGAAUUUACAAAUAAAUACCAUCCCCAGGUGCGAUAGCCGUUAUCAUAUUUGUAUAACUUUUAUCACUUAAGUACUACUAUCGAUUUACAUGUAACUUGAUCCCCUUGUAUAUGUGAGGUAUAUAUAUGCUUUUGGUAAUAAGGUGAUGAAGUGCACGAAAGUACUACCCUUUUAUUUUUACAUAGAAUAAUGGUUCUUAAAUUUAUCCUAAUUUUACAAACUACUCCAUUUAAUACACCGUACUAAAAAAAUUGCUUAUUACAACAGUAUGAAAUAAAAUUCAAACCACCAACAAGAAAGUAAUUAACCCUGAAACAAGGAUAUUGCAUUCAUUGAUCAUUUUUCUCUCUAUAUAAAAAGCACCCGGUUCUGCGUGUUCUUGCAACAACAACAACACCCUCAUAAUUGCAAACAUCAGAAAGAAAAAAUGAAUUCCCUUCGUCUCACUAUAUGUUGUGUGGUGGCAGUGCUUGGAGCACUACCACACUUCUCAUUUGCACAGCUAGAUCCUUCAUUUUACGAUAGCACUUGUUCAAAUGUAAGUUCAAUUGUACGUGAGGUGCUCUCAAAUGUUUCUCAAUCUGAUCCCCGCAUACUUGCAAGUCUCAUCAGGCUCCAUUUUCACGACUGUUUUGUUCAGGUAACUAUAAUUACUCUUCAUAUCAUAACUCCAUUCAUAGUUUCUUGCUACUGCAGCUAACUCUUUUGCACGUCUUUUGUUUUUAAAGCAAAUCCUUUCCUAGCUACUUCUAUUACGUACCCCGAGCAAAACUCGUUUAUCAAAUCAGUAAUAAUUUUUUCUUUUAUAUUAGAUGGUUAAAAUGCAAGAGUUCGUGAAAACAUUUCUAUAGAAAUUUUAAUGUUUUUAAAUUAAGUGUUUUUUAUUGAGAAGUAAUUUAAAUGAAUGUAUUUCAUUAAUCUAUUAUAUGAAAUACAUCAAAUACAUAAGAAAAUAUAGAAGAAGUGGUUGUAUAAUAGAAAUAGAAUAGGAUAACAACCUACUAUAUAGUAACAACUAUUUGAAAUAUAAAUUAAAGAUAAAAUCAAAUAGAUAAAAAUUAUUUAAAAUACAAAUUGAAGAUAAUAUCAACUAAUAAUUAAAACAUAAAUUCAAAUUAAGAGAUAACUAUAAUAUAUAGGUUUUAGCUUUAAGUUUCAACUAAAUAAGACUGUUGUAUAGGAUAUAUAUAUAGAGAGAGAGAGAGAACAUGCAUGUCUAAGUCGUUUCUAUUUUUUUGCUUUUAAAAUACUUAUUUUAGAAAUAAUUUUAAAAAAUUAAUAGAUUUUCAUAAUUUCUGAGUAAUGUUUAAGAUCAUGUUAGAAAAUAAUUUCAUAAAAAAAUGAGAACGGAAUCAAUCAUGCAUCUGGUCUCCAUCUGAAAUUUUUUUCCGCUCAAAGUUAUGAACUGGGGCCUCUGGCUCAACCACUCCUUAUAAUGUUAUGUGUAAAGGAAAACGUGGUUGGAAAUGUCAAGGUUUCCUUAUCAUAUGGGCACUGAUAAAAGUACGUUGAAUAAAAGAGAGGAAAAUAAAGUGUUGCUUUAUUUUUUUUGUUGCUGAGAAUUGAAUUAAUUAUAUAUCCGCGGAUAUGAUAUGACAGGGGUGUGACGCAUCAAUUCUGUUGAACGACACGGAUACGAUCGUGAGCGAGCAAAGUGCAGCGCCAAACAACAACUCCAUAAGAGGUUUGGAUGUUGUGAACCAGAUCAAAACAGCAGUGGAAAAUGCUUGUCCCGGCACAGUUUCUUGUGCUGAUAUUCUUGCUCUUGCAGCUCAAAUAUCUUCUGAUCUGGUAUAUAUAUGAAGAAUUGGUUAAAACAAAUCAUCAUCAAGAAUAUAACUAACUAAAUUUCUUCGUGGAAUUUUAAUCUUAAUAUUGAAACCAUAAGUUCGCAACAAUUUUUGUUCACCUUUUGCAUUCUAUUUUGUCCAACUUAUAGAGUUUUAGUACAACUAUAUAUUUGGCAGGCUAGUGGUCCUGUUUGGGAAGUUCCAUUGGGAAGAAGGGAUAGUUUGACAGCAAAUCAAACCCUUGCUAAUCAAAAUCUUCCAGCUCCUACUUUUACCAUUGAUCAACUUAUCAACUCAUUUGGUAAUCAAAGCCUCAACAUUACUGAUCUAGUUGCACUUUCAGGUAUGAAUUUUUUUACAUAUAAUAAAUAAAAGGUUUUAUAAUGUGUGUUUACAAAUAUAUAUAGCAGGAUUUUUUGGAUUUUGUGUGAAAUAUUUAUUAAUUUUAUCAAAUAAUUAAUAUUUUUGAAAAAUUUAAUUAAUUUUUUCAAGUGUUUUUUCAAAUAAAAUAUUCAAAUGAGACCUAAAUCAGAUAUUUAAAUCUAAUUUCAUUCGAACUAAUAAGAUAAUAUUAAAUAUACCUUGUUAAAUGCAUUAAAUUAUUUAAAUAAGCAAACAUUUAAUGGCAUGAGUUUUUUGUGUGUGUCCAUAUUGCUACUCUUAUUUUAUUAUUUAAACUAAUAGUUUAGAUAAAUUUUAUGAAAUUUGAUUUAGGCAAUGAUGCUAGUUCUCUUUUGAUAUAAAUACAUUAUUUAUUUAUAAAAUUUUAUUGUAUAUUUAGUAUCACGUGUACAGAUUAGAAAACCUUUUAAUUGCAUUAAUUAUUGAAAAUGUUUCUUUUUUUAGGUGCUCAUACAAUUGGUAGAGCUCAAUGUAGAUUUUUUGUUGAUCGAUUAUACAAUUUCAGCAACACCGGCAACCCAGAUCCUACUCUAAACACAACUCUCUUGCAAUCAUUGCAAGGAAUAUGUCCUAAUGGUGGACCUGGCACUAAUCUCACUAAUUUGGACUUAACCACUCCAGACACAUUUGACUCCAACUACUACUCCAAUCUUCAACUUCAAAAUGGCUUGCUUCAGAGUGAUCAAGAGCUGCUUAGCGCAAAUAAUACGGAUAUCGUUGCCAUUGUCAACAAUUUCAUUAUGAACCAAACUCUUUUCUUUGAAAACUUUAAGGCGUCAAUGAGAAAAAUGGGCAACAUUGGAGUGCUAACGGGAUCACAAGGAGAAAUUCGAUCACAAUGUAAUUCUGUGAAUGGAAAUUCUUCUGGACUCACUACUACUGCCACCAAAGAAUCAUCACAAGAUAGCGUGGUUAGCUCAAUGUAAUAAAUUGGCAAAGGUUGUGCUGAAAAAUGCAGAGAUUGAAGGUACUAGCUAAUAAAAAGUUUUGUAUUUGCACAUAUAUGGCAUGUGCAUGGAAACAGAUGCGAUUGAAGAGCGAACAACUGAGCUUCAGAGAAGUCAGACUUUGGGCUUGCUUACUGGCUUUCUUUCAGUGGAUGAUUGGUAUGCUUGAUUUAUAAAUCUACUAUAGCAUUGUGAAGGUAAAAACUGUUAUUAUGACAAGCUGUGUGUUUUUUUUUUUUUUCUCUUUUGGCUUGCUUUAUUUAUUGGUGUCUCCACAAAAAAUGGAUGAGGCUUCCACCUUUCCUCUUAAUGAUAAAACUGCUUUGGAUACUAUGCAAAAAAUAAAGAAUAUAUUAAUCUAUUUAGAUAUAUAACGGGUUUUACUUUCUUAACAAUAAAAACUGGUUCCAUUGUGUGUGGAGAUAUUUGUCAUUCUUCCAUGAAUUCACACACUUAUUAUUUACAUGGUGACUUAGUCGAUGGACUGAUGGUUCUCAAACUUUAUGGAUUUUUGCUGAAGAUUUUAUUCCUUCACAUUAAGUGCUAUCAUUUAUUUCCUUUCCUACGUGCCGUGCCAAUUUUAUUCCCGCAAUUUGAUUGACGUUACCGCCAAUUUCUGAGGAGGUCUGAAUUAAAUCUAGGCUAGUUGAUAAUAGGUGACACUGUUCAUUCUCGUCAGUUUUUUAUUCUCUUCUUACAAACUAUUGCAAAGAAGUUUCUAUAGUACAAGGGAAGAAAAACGUUAAACUUUUCAUCUAACAAUGAGAAAAAUGUGAAGUUAGUCGUGAUGCUUGGAAUUAUGGAGUGUUAUGUCAAGGAAAGUAUUUUAAGUUAUUUUCUAUUUCCUUUAAUUAUGUAUAUAAAAAAGUUUUUUUGACAUAAUUAUAUGUCUAUGUUUAUAUAUAUAUGAUAAGUUGAUAACAUUUUAUUAGAAUUCAUAUAAAAAUUUUGUAAUUAUAAUUUUCUAUUAUUUUAUUAGAAUUUUUAUUAUUAUUUUAUUAGAAUUUUUAAUUUUUUUUAAAAAAAAUAUAUUCUAAAACGAUUAUUUAAAAAAUCAUCUUAAAAUCUUUAAAUUCUUUUUAAAAAAAUUCUAAAAUAGUUUUCUAAAAAAAAGAAUUUUUAAGAUUAUUUUCUGAAAAAUCGUCUUAAAAUUCUCUUUUUUUAAAAUAAUUUUUAAGAUGAUUUUUUAUAAAAUUAUCAUUAAAAAUCUUAAUUUUUGACGACGUUAAUUUUAAACCUUCUUUAUAUGUCAUUUAAAAUCGUUGUUAUGCUUAUAAACUAUGUACUUUUUAGCUUUUUUAUUUUUAUAGCAAAACUUUGGUUUCCAAUUUAUAUAUAUAUAUAUAUAUAUAUAUGCAUUUGAGUAAUGAAGAGUAUUUGAUAACUUUAAGUUUUACAAGAUAUUUUUAAUGUAGCAUUACAUAGUGGCGAUUUUCUGACAAUGUGUUUGAUUUUUUUUCUUCUUUACUGGGGCCACCCCUUCACUAAUGCAAAAUACCUGGACAACCAACACAUCUCCACUCUUGGCAGCCACAGCAUCUGCUCCACGCCAGAUCUAGAAGCCUUCGGAAUUAGACACACUCAUCUUAGUACGAGCAAGAAUGACACCAAACAAGAGUGUCCAGGUGUUAAAUAUGCUCCAUGAGAUGAUUCAGAGUUAUGGUUCAUUUUGUAUCACCUAUCAACCCAACCUUUUCCGAAUUAUAUACUGUCGUGAUUCCUAUUCUUAAGCUAUGUCACUCCAAAGAUUGAAGGGAUUGGGAAAUUUGGAUUGUAGCAACUAAUUAACUUGGGACAAAAAAAAAUGAUGAUGCAAGCAACUUUUUCAGUGAUGAUGUGUGGAGGCAUUAUCUAUUUCCUGAAUCCUGACAAAGAACACAGAUAUCCAGCAGAAUCAAAAAGUUGAUGAUUAUACGAGAAAGAAUCAAGGAGACUACAAAUCUAGAGAAUCCAAUUCUAUUUAUAUUUUUUGGUCCAAUGAUGAGAAUCUAAUUCUUGAAAUAAGAUUGCAUGAGUCUUUUGUGUGUAAAUGGAGCUUUUAUGUUUUUGGCAUGGGCUUUCACUUUUGUCAGUUUUGUGCGUCAUGUUUUCGGGCUUUUGCAUAUCGUAGUGGUUUUCUAUUUAUUUAUUUUUACUUAAUUUUGUUCACUUAACUUAGAUUCAUAGAUUGUAUAUGAUUUUAGUCAUUUGAGUUUUUUUUUAACUAGUUGCCUCACAAUAAUUUUUUAUUUAAUAUAUUAAAACCAUGGGGUUGAUAUCAUUAAUUGCUGACCUGAUAUUUAACAGUUUAUUAAAAUUAUGAUUCAACACCCAACUAAUUUAACUUGGUGAGGAUUCCUGAAAAGUUGAAACCUAAUUAUUUCUUGAUAAUGACCUAAUUUGUUGAUUGUUUGUUUGUAUAGAAAUGAAGUGGAAAGAAAUAAGAAGCAGAAAGAUAGGAUAAAAAUAUUAAAUUUUUACCAUUUGUUUGGAAAAAAAAGGAAAGGAGUUAUUUUCAUGGCAUGGGAUCUAUUAGAAAACAUCCUCCCUCCCCAAAUCUUCAUUUUCUUUUCUUUUUGUUAAUUUCUUAAAAUUAAAUAAAUAUCUAUAGCGUAAUUUUUUUUAAAAUUAAUAAAUAAGUAUUAUGAUAAGAAAAAAAUAAUGGAACAAAACAAUACAGUUGUUAAUUAGUAUAACAAUAUUUUCAUAUAAUUUCUCUAUUGACACUGGUAUUUGUACUUCUCAAAAUGUUCACCCAACGUCUACCUAACAAUUAUGGUUAAUUAUAUGUAUGUAAAUAUGAUUAAUUUUAUUUUAAGUGUAAUUAACUAUUAUUAAAUAUUUCAAUAAUUACAUGACACUAUUAAUCACAUGUAAUACAAAGUUAAUCAUAUAUAUAUAUAUAUAUAUAUAUAUAUAUAUAUAUAAUUGAACACGUUUGAUAGUCAAUAAUUUUAUAACAUUAUUAACCACUUAUAAAAUAAAAUUAACUAUAAUCAUAUUUUCAAGCACUCACCAAGUAUACAAUUUUCAGUGGAACAAAUAUCAUUUUUCUUUCUCUAUUUUUUUUUCUUCUUAUUUCUCUCCAUUCAAAGAACAAAUCCUCUAUGCUUUAUUUCUCUUCUUUCUGUUUCUUUCCUCAAUAUUUCACUUAAUCAAAGCAUAAAGGUCAUUGAUAUGGGUAGAAAAUGUGCGUUAGUUGUUCUUAUGAUAUACCUGAGAUUUUUUUAAUCUUUUUUUGUACAUUUUUCUAGUGUACUUUAAUUGAGCUUGGUUUGUGGUAUUAAUUAUUUUCUCACAUUAGAAUUGACCCCAAGUGAAUUCCAACUCCAUAUAAGAUGAAAUGUUUCGGCAAUUACAAAUUAACGAGAAACUGAAUAAUGCAUUAUCAAAGAAUUAAUCAUCUCAUAUUAUUAAAGAAUCAGUACUUAAUCUGUUAUUACAAGUAAUAUUCGCAGCAAAGUCUUUGUGCCUUGUUAAAGCCAAACAAAUAAUGGCACAAUUAGUCAAUUCAAAUGUGGUGUAUGUGUAUCAUGGAAGUUUCUUACAUAAUUAUUAGUAUUAUAAUAAUAAAAAAAUGUAACAACUCUUCAUACUCCAAUGCCUAAAAUAUUAAUUUAGCUAGAAAACUAAAGCAUACGUGGGUGUGACCCGGCGAAAGUGGAUCUGCUUACUUCAGGUUUUAACUAAAAGAAGACAAUCGAACAAACUAUAGAUAAGAAGACCAAAAGUAGUCAAUGCACAAGAGAUAAAAAAAAUACUAUUUAUACAAUUUUUUUACAAUAUUAUGUUGUGAAUUAAUGUUUUUACUGUCUUUUUUUGUUGGUAUGGGAGAAAUAAGUUUACUGCCAUUCAAAUUAUGAAAACAAAUUAUUAUACAUAUUAGGCUUAAAUGAAAUUUUAUUUUUUUUAUUUUUUAAAAAUCUAUAAUUUUAGUUCAUUAUUUUAAAUUAGAGACAUUUUAUUAAAAUCUUUAAUUUUAGUCUUUUAUUUUAAAAUAAAGACAUUUAAUCUUCUAAUUUUAUAAAAUUCAUAAUUUUAAUAUUUCAAAUUCAAAAAAUAUUGAUCGAUAAAAAAUUAAGUUAAUACGAUCGAAAUUUAAUAAUAUAAUAUCAGAUUAUUUAUUUAAUUUAUGUCUAGUCAAUGUUAAUCCGUUAAAAUUUGAUAUUUUCAUUUUUGAUGAAAAAAUCAAAAUCAUAAAUUUUAUAAAAAUAAAAAAGUAAAUAUCAUUAUUUUAUAAUAAAAAGAAUAAAAUUAUGGGUUUUGAAAAUAAUAAAAAAAGGAUUAAAUGAGUCUAUUUUAAUAUUAAAAAAAUAAAAUUACAAAAUUUUAAAAUUCAAAUAAUCAAAAUUACAUUUAAACAUCUAUAUUAUAUUAAAACAUUUGUGCGGGAAAACUGAAGCCUAUAAACGAUGAUGUCACGUGCAGGACAACUUGGUGUGAGGAAAACUGAAGCCUAUAAACGAUAUUUAAUUAUAUUUAAUUCUUUUAGUAGUGAUCGAUAUGCAUUGACUUGGUAAUAGAAAUGAGUUGAUUAAGAAUUGCAAUAAGGACACAGUGGACUUGGAUUAUAUAAAUGGGUGGUGUACACAUUAAUUAUCAUUGCACCUUCCUUCGUAAAGUGGCUCUUAACUAAACAUAAUCCUAUCUAUUAUAUAUAAAUACUUAAAUGAUCAUCAUUUAAAAAAUACAUGAUUUUGUACUAGAUAACGUGCCUGAGAAGAAGUUGUCUUGUUCAAUUCAUUGGCAUUCGUCUAUCACAAUAUUCACAAAGCAAGGCCAUUUUGUCUCUAUAAAUAAAGGCAAGUUAUGUGGUGAGUUUCAUAGCAGCAACAUACACAAACACAAACACAAACACACGUGUCGAGUGAAUUCAAAUCAAUUUAGGCAGAAAAUGAGGUGUUUUGGUUUUAUAGUGAUAGGUCUAGUGGCUGUGCUUGGAGGGUUACCCUUCUCCUCAAAUGCAAAAUUAGAACCCUGUUUUUACAAGAAGACUUGUCCCCAGGUGCAUUUUAUUGUAUUUAAAGUCGUAGAGAAAGUUUCAAGAACGGAUCCACGUAUGCCUGCCAGUCUCGUUAGGCUUUUCUUCCAUGACUGUUUUGUUCAAGUAUGUAAAUUUACUUGCUUAUUCAUCCUCCCUUUCUAUCUAAUUUAGUUAAUCCUUUCCUGCUUUAAAUGACAAAUCCCACAAUUAAAAUCAAAAUAAAUCCCUUGCUCCAAUUUUAUUUUUUUUAUCUCUGAGUGGGUUUAUUAGUCUCAAAUAAUUAAGCUCGUAGUAUUUUGAAUUCUUUUAUCACUUUAGGUACUCUUUUUCCAUUUAAAACAUUUAAUGAGUCAUAUUUGAGUUUGAUUUUCAUGUAUUGUUGGUAUAAAAUUGUUUAUACUAUUAACCAAACAAAAAUAAUUUAGGUAUGACUUUUAACUUAGUUAUUAUGUAAAAAAAAAAAAAAACUUAGUUAUUAUAGGUAAGUUUGUUUAAGUUUAUUUUAAAGAAAAAUCCUUAUUUUAAUAAAAUAAAUCAUUUUAUACUUUAUGAUCUGCCUGUCUAACUGUUUUUACUUUUUCUUUACAACCACAGCUCCUCUGUAAUUUAAAUUCGUUAUAUUUUGCUAUUAGACAUUCAAAUAAUGCAUGAGAUCAUAAAAGCAGGGAACACCUUGUUUAUUUCAACAAAAUCCCACAACAGAACGCGACCUUAUAAAAAUUAUACCCGAAUUUUAUUUUAUUUUUUAAAGAAAAAACGUUUGUCUCGUCUCAAAUUAAAAGUAAGUGGUUUGGAUUUUGGAAUGUCGAAAAUUUCUAGUGGGAACUACACAAAUGUUCAAGAAAAGAAAUUGAUUCUUACUUCGUCAUGUGUAUUUGUUGAGAAUGAACAAGAAAUGAAUUAUGUUGUUUAUGCUUGUGGCAUGCAGGGGUGUGAUGCAUCAAUUUUGUUGAACAACACUGCCACCAUAGUGAGUGAGCAACAAGCUCUGCCAAACAACAACUCAAUAAGAGGUUUGGAUGUUGUAAACCAGAUCAAGACAGAGUUGGAAAAAGCUUGCCCUGGCGUAGUUUCUUGCGCUGAUAUUCUUACCCUUGCAGCUGAAGUAUCUUCUGUUCUGGUAUGUCUCAUUUUAGGUCAAAGAAAAAAACUUAGAUCAACUUCUUUUGUUACAUCCUUUUUUAUCAAGUUGUCCAAUCAAAUAACAACAAAUAAAUGUUUAUAUAUUGCAACAUAUAUUUAAUAGAGGUUGUUUAUUAUUAGAAAGAAUAUUCAUGUAUCAUUUGACAGGCUCAUGGUCCUUAUUUGAAAUUUCCCUUGGGAAGGAGGGAUAGUUUAACAGCAAAUAGAACCCUUGCGAAUCAAAACCUUCCUGCUCCUUUCUUCAACCUCACUCAACUUAAAGCUGCCUUUGCUGUUCAAGGCCUUGACACUACCGAUCUUGUUGCACUCUCAGGUAAUAAAUAUUCCCCAAUUCAAAUUAUCCUAUGUGUUGCAACAAUUAAUGCUACCUAUAAUAACAACAACAAUAAAACACCUAUAGUUGAUCCGAGUAGAAUUGGACUCAGAUCCUUUAAAUAAGAUCUCGAGUUUAAAUCUUAUAAAAAAAAUAUGAUUAAAAAGAAAAAUGUCACUAUUCUUAAUAGGGAUUAGAUAUUAAAAAAAAAUGAUGAAUACUUCGUAGUUCGCAUCAAUAUCACACUAAUGAAAAAAAAAUCUUAGAAAUUCAGGGUAAGAUAUAAGAUAUUGGAUUUACUGGUGAACACAUUAACAUUACUCUAAAUUCACCAUCUUAACUUGGUUUGACUUUGGAAGAAUUCAUCUUAUGAAAAUGAUGGACUAGUAUAUGAUUUGUAUAUGAUUCAAUUUCAGGAGCUCAUUCAUUUGGCAGAGUUCGCUGCUUAUUCAUUCUUGACCGAUUGUACAAUUUCAGUGGUACUGGCAGACCCGAUCCAACUCUUGACACAACUUACUUAAAACAAUUGCGCCAAAUAUGCCCCCAAGGUGGGCCCCCUAACAACCUUGUCAAUUUUGACCCAACCACUCCUGAUACAUUGGACAAGAACUACUACUCCAAUCUUCAGGUUAAGAAGGGUUUGCUUCAGAGUGAUCAAGAGUUGUUCUCAACACCUGGUGCUGAUACCAUCAGCAUUGUCAACAAAUUCAGUAGUGACCAAAUAGCUUUCUUUAAGAGCUUUUCGGCUUCCAUGAUUAAAAUGGGAAAUAUUGGUGUGCUAACUGGGAAGAAAGGAGA
This 37138-nucleotide long non-coding RNA is filed under the name Glycine max (soybean). RNAcentral's name for it is "long non-coding RNA (GMAX_LNC003400)". The record is from RNAcentral. Lineage: Eukaryota; Viridiplantae; Streptophyta; Magnoliopsida; Fabales; Fabaceae.